CCUACGGGUGGCUGCAGUGGGGAAUAUUGGACAAUGGGGGCAACCCUGAUCCAGCCAUGCCGCGUGUGUGAAGAAGGCCCUCGGGUUGUAAAGCACUUUCAGUGAGGAAGAACGCCUGGUGGUUAAUACCCAUCAGGAAAGACAUCACUCACAGAAGAAGCACCGGCUAACUCCGUGCCAGCAGCCGCGGUAAUACGGAGGGUGCGAGCGUUAAUCGGAAUUACUGGGCGUAAAGCGCGCGUAGGUGGCCUGAUAAGCCGGUUGUGAAAGCCCCGGGCUCAACCUGGGAACGGCAUCCGGAACUGUCAAGCUAGAGUGCAGGAGAGGAAGGUAGAAUUCCCGGUGUAGCGGUGAAAUGCGUAGAGAUCGGGAGGAAUACCAGUGGCGAAGGCGGCCUUCUGGACUGACACUGACACUGAGGUGCGAAAGCGUGGGUAGCAAACAGGAUUAGAUACCCUAGUAGUC
RNAcentral lists this ribosomal RNA (465 nucleotides) under Vreelandella stevensii. RNAcentral describes it as "partial 16S ribosomal RNA". It matches the Rfam family "Bacterial small subunit ribosomal RNA", at positions 338 to 795 of the family's 1533-position model. Lineage: Bacteria; Pseudomonadati; Pseudomonadota; Gammaproteobacteria; Oceanospirillales; Halomonadaceae. The record is from RNAcentral.